This 346-nucleotide unclassified non-coding RNA is filed under the name uncultured fungus. RNAcentral's name for it is "partial contains small subunit ribosomal RNA, internal transcribed spacer 1, and 5.8S ribosomal RNA". The stretch from base 1 to 73 matches the Rfam family "Eukaryotic small subunit ribosomal RNA", at positions 1759 to 1831 of the family's 1831-position model. Lineage: Eukaryota; Fungi. The record is from RNAcentral.
GCAAACUUGGUCAUUUAGAGGAAGUAAAAGUCGUAACAAGGUUUCCGUAGGUGAACCUGCGGAAGGAUCAUUACCGAGUUAGGGUGUCGCCUCGGCGCGCCCGACCUCCCAACCCUUUGUCUACCUUACCAAACGUUGCUUCGGCAGGCCCGCCGACCCUCCACCGUCCCCCCCGGGGGCGGUCGAGGUGAGGCCGCCGGGGGUCUCACGACCCCGGGCCCGCGCCUGUCGAUGGCCCCAAUCUUAACUCUUUGCAUUAAACGUGUCGUCUGAGUUAAACAAAAAAAUAAAAACCAAAACUUUCAACAACGGAUCUCUUGGUUCUGGCAUCGAUGAAGAACGCAGC